AACGAACGUUAGCGGCGCGCUUAACACAUGCAAGUCGAACGAGAAAGGGCUUCGGCCCCGGUACAGUGGCGCACGGGUGAGUAACACGUGGGUAAUCUACCCUUGAGCGGGGGAUAACGUUCCGAAAGGAGCGCUAAUACCGCAUAAGACCACGCUCUCGAAAGGGAGCGAGGUAAAAGUAGGCCUCUGAAUUCACGCUUACACUCGAGGAUGAGCCCGNGGCCCAUCAUGGUAGUUGGUAGGGUAAUGGCCUACCAAGCCGAAGACGGGUAGCUGGUCUUAGAGGAUGAUCAGCCACACUGGAACUGAGACACGGUCCAGACUCCUACGGGAGGCAGCAGUGGGGAAUCUUGCGCAAUGGGCGAAAGCCUGACGCAGCGACGCCGCGUGGGUGAUGAAGGCCUUC
RNAcentral lists this ribosomal RNA (406 nucleotides) under uncultured bacterium. RNAcentral's name for it is "bacterial SSU rRNA". It matches the Rfam family "Bacterial small subunit ribosomal RNA", at positions 29 to 419 of the family's 1533-position model. The record is from RNAcentral.